This 1261-nucleotide long non-coding RNA is filed under the name Mus musculus (house mouse). RNAcentral describes it as "predicted gene 44992". The record is from RNAcentral. Lineage: Eukaryota; Metazoa; Chordata; Mammalia; Rodentia; Muridae.
AAUCCUGGAACUCUGCACAGCUGACAGACAGCUUGACAGUCUGAGAACUCUCCACAUAUGUUUCUGGGUCCUGUGAACUUGGGCAGACACUAGAAAUGACUAACUAUAGGCAUGAGGCUCAUCUGUGAGUAUGGCUGUGAAGGAUUUGGCAGGGGAUUAUCCAAGCAGGGAUAUAUACUAUGAAUGUGAACUGUGUCUUCUUGUGUGCUGGAAUAAAAAGAAGUAAAGGGAGAAGACAGCUGAGGACUGGCAUUCUUCUCUCUUCCUCAUCAUGUAUUUUGUAAGAGUGUGAAGCAACGUGAAUAAUUCGAUCAGCAGUUUAGCUGGAGAGGAUUCUGUGCACCACACCUCUUCUAAGCUGUCAACUCAUUGUAUAGCACCCACCUAACUUCAGGGCUCCGGGGGCUUUUGCCGUUAUCCUCAUGGAACUGGGGAAUCGCUCAGAAGGAUCCUUUCCUGACUCGCUGUCCAGCAGGCACGAUGGAUGGCUCGGCUCAGUGCUGGAUGCAGUUCCUAUGCAAAAGUUGGACACUUCAAGCAUCCAUGGAGAUUACAAAGCACGGAAAUGCUGUAAACCACUGAAAGACUGGAGAAGAGGAAAGACAACCCAGGAGAAUUCAUCAUAAGAUAUUCAGUCCGAUAUUUCCUGAGGUGACCCAACCAUCCAUUUCUCAUAGAGAUUCAGGACUACAAGCCAUUAUCCAAAGAUGCCUGGGCACUCAUGACAACAGAGAUAGUUAAUCUAGAUUGUGAAUUUACAUGGAUCUGAAAUCUUUCUUGAUGAGACUAUUUUAUGGAAAGAUCUAAAUAUAGGUGGUACCUUUUGUAGCAGCCCAGAUAAAAGGAUGUGGAAGGAAGAGCUUUCAUCACUCUUGUUGGGAGGUCCAUAUCUCCUGUUGCUGUUAUGGCUACAUUCUUCCACUGAUCUCAGAAGCUGCUUCUAUGAGCUUGCAAUGUAGACUGAAGACCAGCAGAUUUUCAGGAAUCUUCCAGGCCUUCAUCACCAGACUGAGAUUGCCAAGACAUCCAGCCUCCUAGUUCAGCAUCUACCAGAUUCUGAUCAUCUCCAGUGAAAGACAACCAUUGUUGGACCACCCACAUUCUUAAACCAAUGUACGCAGAGUCACAUCCAGCUUUUCUGGGAACCCAAACUCAAGACCUCAUGAUGAGCAUCAAAGAAGGCCCAUUCAGCCCAAGCUAUAUAGUAGAAUCCUUUUAAAAGACCAACCAAUAAUAAUAAAUAAUGCUUGCCUUCCACUCU